This is a long non-coding RNA of Gadus morhua (Atlantic cod), 302 nucleotides long. RefSeq lists it as uncharacterized. The transcript has 3 exons. The record is from RefSeq and is a predicted model, not a curated record. Lineage: Eukaryota; Metazoa; Chordata; Actinopteri; Gadiformes; Gadidae.
CGAUUAGGACACAGAGCCAGAGAUCGGCUACUUAAGGGGAGGAGAGGAUUCUCCCUCAGAGCACUCCUCCAGUCCGGACUAGAUACUGCACCGUUUUUCCUCGUGGUUCUGAAGCUUGCCUUGUCGGGACCUCAACUCAUCAUGGUCUGGUUGAGCUGCACGGGCCAGCUGGUCCUGAUGUCCACCCUGGUCCUCACCACCUCCUCCCUGUCCAACCCCAGGCCUGAUGAAGACAACAACGUCCUUCAGAGUCAGACGGGUGUCCACUCACGUGGGAGCUGCUCCAACGCGCCGCUGGGAGA